UGCUAUUUGGGUGAGAAUAAGCCAUGCGAGUUGAAUGGGAUACCUAAAUUUCCCAUAGCAAACUGCUCAGUAACACAUGAUCAACUUACCCUGUAGAGAAAAAUAACCUCGGGAAACUGAGGAUAAUAUUUCAUAAUUGAAUUGGCUUGGAAAAGUUUUUCAAUGAAAAGGAUAAAAAAAAUGGUUUUUAUCUGCUAUAGGAUAGGAUCAUGUUCGAUUAUGGUUGUUGGUGAGGUAAUGGCUCACCAAGCCGAUAAUCGAUAGGGGCCGUGAGAGCGGGAGCCCCGAUAUCGGGCCCUACGAGGCGCAGCAGGCGCGAAAACUCCACAAUGCGCGAAAGUACGAUGAGGUAACCCAAAGUGUCAGCUAGUAAGAACUGGUGUUAGGUUGUGUAAUGUCCCCUACUAGAAAGGAGAGGGCAAGGCUGGUGCCAGCCGCCGCGGUAAAACCAGCUCUUCAAGUGGUCGGGAUAAUUAUUGGGCUUAAAGUGUCCGUAGCCGGUUUAGUAAGUUCCUGGUAAAAUCGGGUAGCUUAACUAUCUGCAUGCUAGGAAUACUGCUAUACUAGAGGGCGGGAGAGGUCUGAGGUACUACAGGGGUAGGGGUGAAAUCUUAUAAUCCUUGUAGGACCACCAGUGGCGAAGGCGUCAGACUGGAACGCGCCUGACGGUGAGGGACGAAAGCCAGGGGAGCGAACCGGAUUAGAUACCCGGGUAGUCCUGGCCGUAAACGAUGCAUACUAGGUGAUGGUAUGGCCAUGAGCCAUAUCAGUGCCGUAGGGAAACCGUUAAGUGUGCCGCCUGGGAAGUACGGUCGCAAGGCUAAAACUUAAAGGAAUUGGCGGGGGAGCAC
This 851-nucleotide ribosomal RNA is filed under the name uncultured archaeon. Its description in RNAcentral is "bacterial SSU rRNA". It matches the Rfam family "Archaeal small subunit ribosomal RNA", at positions 28 to 879 of the family's 1478-position model. The record is from RNAcentral.